Fukomys damarensis (Damara mole-rat) is the source of this 1263-nucleotide long non-coding RNA. RefSeq lists it as uncharacterized. The transcript is spliced from 4 exons. The record is from RefSeq and is a predicted model, not a curated record. NCBI's taxonomy places the organism in Eukaryota, Metazoa, Chordata, Mammalia, Rodentia, Bathyergidae.
CCCCGUGGGCACCCCAGAGGCUGGUGGGCAGGUGCGGGAGACCUGAGCUCUCCCCCGGGGCUGUUGCCUGGUGACAGUCCUGCCUGGUUACAGCCCCUGUCCCCAGGAGCAUGAGUGUGGGGAGCUGAGGAUUGGGGGCUGUAUGGAGGCCUAUGCAGGUAGAGCAGGAGCUGCUUACCUGGACAGUACUACCUUUCACUACGGAGCCCACUGUCCAUCAUGGUGACCUUGGACCACGUGUGGGCCUCAAGCACUUUGGACACAGACAGCGUGAGCGGAGCCGGGCUCAGGAGUAAGAUGUCCUAACAUGAGCCUUGGCUGUCAACUUGAUGGCCGAGAGAAGCCUAGGAGUGUAAAUACCAGAAAGCUUACCCUGCAGUCGUGGCUCACGUGACAGUUCUAGGGAACAGCACUGCUGCGGGGAUGUGGGUCUGACCCGAGCGUGCACCAAGGCAGGCGACACAAUGAGGAUGUCCCGGCUCGUGCACAGCCUGACAGGCACCUGUCAUGAGCAGACUGCCUCAGCCUAAUGGGAGCUCAGAGAGGACACAGCCCCUCAAGCUGCCUCACAGAUUGGGAGACAGAGGCUCAAAGGGGCCAAGUGGGACAGGGCUGGCACAGCAAUGCCCUUGACCUUGGGCUGGUGGCAACUAACUGGACUUGAAGGGUAGGAGGAAGACCCCACAGCCUUCCCUUAGCAUGUGUUAGCCCUCCUAGAAUGCCAUCUUCAGAGAAGAGUCGCACCCCAGGCUGGGGGAGAGGAGCCCGAGGUUGGAAGGAGGAGCUAAUAGGAGCUCAGCCUGCAGCGGGGUCCAGGCAGCCUCUGCCCCAAACAGCAGCUCCGAGAAGGCAGAGACCACCAGACGCUAGCCAGAGGGUCGGCUCUUCAGCUCCUGCAGCCAGUGGGCCGCGUCAUCACAGCGUAGUCCCCGCGUCUGCCUCCUGCCGCCAGCUGGUCUCUGCUAGGCAGGCGCCCAUGGGCCAGGCAUCCUGCGGUGGGUUACAGGUGAGAAAACUGAGGCGGGGAAGCUCUGCACUUGCCAAGGUCACAGCUGGGCGGCAGCAGAGCCAGGAUUUAACCCAGGCUGCCUGGCUCCAACGCGAGGGCCGUAACCAGUGCACUGCCCUGGCCCAAGGGACUGCAGGGUGUUCCAUGCCCUGCACACCACCGGCCUCUUUAACUGUGCUGAGCGAGUGAAUGAAUAACAGAAUGAAUGAAUGAGCUCCUGUCUCUCCGAGGACCCUCCAGCCUCCCUCCCGGGU